CACACAUACAGGAAGUGAAUAUAUCAGGCUGAGAGUACUUAAACCCCCCUGCCCAGCAUGAUGUUACACUGCUGUUCAGGAGAGGCUGCUACUAUUCAAAAAAUUGAUUGUGGGACUAAUUAUACCGUAAAAAUCGGUUUUUGGCCCCUACUUUGAUUGACAUGAAGCCCUGAUGAAGUCCUUGGGACGAAACGCGUCGGGUAGUGUUUCUUGUGAAAACAUCAGACAUCCUGUAUAAUACACCAUUUGAUGGGAUACAUUGUCUGUUAUCAUGUCUGCAAUAACAUUGUAAACUGUAUUUUUAUUAUAUUUACCAUUGGAUUUUCAUGUAAUAAUCUCCGUUCACUAAAAGUAUGAUGUACUUGGUGAAUAUGUGAAUAAAAUCUAUUGUUUUUAUCA
This is a long non-coding RNA of Pseudophryne corroboree (corroboree frog), 399 nucleotides long. RefSeq lists it as uncharacterized. The transcript is spliced from 3 exons. Lineage: Eukaryota; Metazoa; Chordata; Amphibia; Anura; Myobatrachidae. The record is from RefSeq and is a predicted model, not a curated record.